UACAGAGGUCCCGAGCGUUGUUCGGAUUCAUUGGGCGUAAAGGGUGUGUAGGAGGUUGGGUAAGUCAGGCGUGAAAUCUCACCGCUUAACGGUGAAACUGCGCUUGAUACUGCUUGACUAGAGGAUCGGAGGGGGAAGCGGAAUUCUUGGUGUAGCAGUGAAAUGCGUAGAUAUCAAGAGGAACACCGGUGGCGUAGGCGGCUUCCUGGAAGAUUCCUGACUCUGAAACACGAAAGCUAGGGGAGCAAACGGG
RNAcentral lists this ribosomal RNA (253 nucleotides) under uncultured bacterium. RNAcentral describes it as "partial 16S ribosomal RNA". It matches the Rfam family "Bacterial small subunit ribosomal RNA", at positions 524 to 776 of the family's 1533-position model. The record is from RNAcentral.